This 344-nucleotide ribosomal RNA is filed under the name uncultured bacterium. RNAcentral describes it as "bacterial SSU rRNA". It matches the Rfam family "Bacterial small subunit ribosomal RNA", at positions 917 to 1267 of the family's 1533-position model. The record is from RNAcentral.
GGACCCGCACAAGCGGUGGAGCAUGUGGUUUAAUUCGAUGCAACGCGAAAAACCUUACCUACACUUGACAUACUUCGAAUUUUCUAGAGAUAGAUUAGUGCCUUCGGGAGCGAAGAUACAGGUGCUGCAUGGCUGUCGUCAGCUCGUGUCGUGAGAUGUUGGGUUAAGUCCUAUAACGAGCGCAACCCUUACCCUUAUUUGCCAGCGGUUAGGCCGGGGAACUAUAAGGGAACUGCCGUAAUAGCGAGAGGUGGGACGACGUCAAGUCAUCAUGGCCCUUACGUGUAGGGCUACACACGUGCUACAAUGGGAGAUACAGACGGUUGCUAAAGCGCGAGCUGGAG